Molecule: ribosomal RNA, 138 nt
Filed under: Triticum aestivum (bread wheat)
Lineage: Eukaryota; Viridiplantae; Streptophyta; Magnoliopsida; Poales; Poaceae
Description: partial small subunit ribosomal RNA
Source: RNAcentral
AUGUUCCCUCUGGUUUAUCACCUUAUUGAGUUGGGGUUGCUUCUACCAGUGGCAACGGCAUCGGUUGAAAGGGCCUUCUCAGCAAUGGAGAUCAUCAAGACCGAUUUGCGCAGCAAGAUGUCCAAUGGUUGGCUUGAU